UACGUAGGGUGCGAGCGUUAAUCGGAAUUACUGGGCGUAAAGCGUGCGCAGGCGGUUCGUUAAGUUCGUUGUGAAAGCCCCGGGCUCAACCUGGGAACUGCAAUGGAAACUGGCGGGCUUGAGUGUGGCAGAGGGGGGUGGAAUUCCGCGUGUAGCAGUGAAAUGCGUAGAGAUGCGGAGGAACACCGAUGGCGAAGGCAGCUCGCUGGGACGGUACUGACGCUGAGGCGCGAAAGCGUGGGGAGCGAACAGG
This 253-nucleotide ribosomal RNA is filed under the name uncultured bacterium. RNAcentral describes it as "partial 16S ribosomal RNA". It matches the Rfam family "Bacterial small subunit ribosomal RNA", at positions 524 to 776 of the family's 1533-position model. The record is from RNAcentral.